GGUCCCGUAGCUCAGUUGGUUAGAGCAAGACACUCAUAAUGUCGAGGUCAUGGGUUCAAGUCCCUUCGGGACCA
Molecule: transfer RNA, 74 nt
Filed under: Myoviridae sp. ctPuP5
Lineage: Duplodnaviria; Heunggongvirae; Uroviricota; Caudoviricetes
Description: tRNA-Met
Rfam family: tRNA
About the family: Transfer RNA (tRNA) molecules are approximately 80 nucleotides in length.
Source: RNAcentral